GGGGUUGUAGCUCAGUGGAAGAGUGCUUGCCUGGCAUGUAUGAGGGCCUGGGUUAUAUUCUCAGCACCUUUA
Molecule: non-coding RNA, 72 nt
Organism: Ictidomys tridecemlineatus (thirteen-lined ground squirrel)
Lineage: Eukaryota; Metazoa; Chordata; Mammalia; Rodentia; Sciuridae
Source: Rfam